This 380-nucleotide ribosomal RNA is filed under the name uncultured Leptolinea sp. RNAcentral describes it as "bacterial SSU rRNA". It matches the Rfam family "Bacterial small subunit ribosomal RNA", at positions 984 to 1382 of the family's 1533-position model. The record is from RNAcentral. Lineage: Bacteria; Bacillati; Chloroflexota; Anaerolineae; Anaerolineales; Anaerolineaceae.
ACAUGCAAGUGUAGGGAAGCCGAAGGUGACGACCCUCGGGAGCUUGCACAGGUGCUGCAUGGCUGUCGUCAGCUCGUGUCGUGAGAUGUUCGGUUAAGUCCGCUAACGAGCGCAACCCUCGCUGUGUGUUAUAUGUGUCACACGGGACUGCCGGUCUUAAGCCGGAGGAAGUGGGGAUGAUGUCAAGUCAGCAUGGCCUUUAUAUCCUGGGCUACACACACGCUACAAUGGCCAACACAAUAGGUUGCUAAGCCGCGAGGUGGCGCCAAUCCAUAAAGUUGGUCUCAGUUCAGAUUGUAGGCUGCAACCCGCCUGCAUGAAGAUGGAGUUGCUAGUAACCGCAGGUCAGCUAUACUGCGGUGAAUACGUUCCCGGGGCUU